This 837-nucleotide ribosomal RNA is filed under the name Salmonella enterica. RNAcentral describes it as "partial 23S ribosomal RNA". It matches the Rfam family "Bacterial large subunit ribosomal RNA", at positions 351 to 1190 of the family's 2925-position model. The record is from RNAcentral. Lineage: Bacteria; Pseudomonadati; Pseudomonadota; Gammaproteobacteria; Enterobacterales; Enterobacteriaceae.
CGCGCGAUACAGGGUGACAGCCCCGUACACAAAAGCGCAUGUGCUGUGAGCUCGAUGAGUAGGGCGGGACACGUGGUAUCCUGUCUGAAUAUGGGGGGACCAUCCUCCAAGGCUAAAUACUCCUGACUGACCGAUAGUGAACCAGUACCGUGAGGGAAAGGCGAAAAGAACCCCGGCGAGGGGAGUGAAAAAGAACCUGAAACCGUGUACGUACAAGCAGUGGGAGCACAGGUUUACCUGUGUGACUGCGUACCUUUUGUAUAAUGGGUCAGCGACUUAUAUUCUGUAGCAAGGUUAACCGUAUAGGGGAGCCGAAGGGAAACCGAGUCUUAACCGGGCGUUAAGUUGCAGGGUAUAGACCCGAAACCCGGUGAUCUAGCCAUGGGCAGGUUGAAGGUUGGGUAACACUAACUGGAGGACCGAACCGACUAAUGUUGAAAAAUUAGCGGAUGACCUGUGGCUGGGGGUGAAAGGCCAAUCAAACCGGGAGAUAGCUGGUUCUCCCCGAAAGCUAUUUAGGUAGCGCCUCGUGAAUUCAUCUCCGGGGGUAGAGCACUGUUUCGGCUAGGGGGCCAUCCCGGCUUACCAACCCGAUGCAAACUGCGAAUACCGGAGAAUGUUAUCACGGGAGACACACGGCGGGUGCUAACGUCCGUCGUGAAGAGGGAAACAACCCAGACCGCCAGCUAAGGUCCCAAAGUCAUGGUUAAGUGGGAAACGAUGUGGGAAGGCCCAGACAGCCAGGAUGUUGGCUUAGAAGCAGCCAUCAUUUAAAGAAAGCGUAAUAGCUCACUGGUCGAGUCGGCCUGCGCGGAAGAUGUAACGGGGCUAAACCAU